UACCUAUCACUGGGGGAUAGCCCGGGGAAACCCGGAUUAAUACCGCAUAAAACAGGGGCACCGCAUGGUGAUAUUUGUUAAAGAUUUAUUGGUGAUAGAUGGGCAUGCGUUCGAUUAGCUAGUUGGCGGGGUAACGGCCCACCAAGGCGACGAUCGAUAGGGGAGCUGAGAGGUUGAUCCCCCACACGGGCACUGAGAUACGGGCCCGACUCCUACGGGAGGCAGCAGUAGGGAAUAUUGGGCAAUGGAUGCAAGUCUGACCCAGCCAUGCCGCGUGCCGGAUGAAGGCCCUCAGGGUUGUAAACGGCUUUUAUUCGGGAAGAAGAGCAGGGAUGCGUCCUUGUGUGA
RNAcentral lists this ribosomal RNA (348 nucleotides) under Dyadobacter soli. RNAcentral describes it as "bacterial SSU rRNA". It matches the Rfam family "Bacterial small subunit ribosomal RNA", at positions 127 to 472 of the family's 1533-position model. The record is from RNAcentral. Lineage: Bacteria; Pseudomonadati; Bacteroidota; Cytophagia; Cytophagales; Spirosomataceae.